UGGGGAAUAUUGGACAAUGGGCGCAAGCCUGAUCCAGCCAUGCCGCGUGAGUGAUGAAGGCCCUAGGGUUGUAAAGCUCUUUCACCGGUGAAGAUAAUGACGGUAACCGGAGAAGAAGCCCCGGCUAACUUCGUGCCAGCAGCCGCGGUAAUACGAAGGGGGCUAGCGUUGUUCGGAUUUACUGGGCGUAAAGCGCACGUAGGCGGACUUUUAAGUCAGGGGUGAAAUCCCGGGGCUCAACCCCGGAACUGCCUUUGAUACUGGAAGUCUUGAGUAUGGUAGAGGUGGGUGGAAUUCCGAGUGUAGAGGUGAAAUUCGUAGAUAUUCGGAGGAACACCAGUGGCGAAGGCGGCUCACUGGACCAAUACUGACGCUGAGGUGCGAAAGCGUGGGGAGCAAACAGG
Molecule: ribosomal RNA, 404 nt
Filed under: Actinomycetes bacterium
Lineage: Bacteria; Bacillati; Actinomycetota; Actinomycetes
Description: Actinobacteria bacterium partial 16S ribosomal RNA
Rfam family: Bacterial small subunit ribosomal RNA
Source: RNAcentral